AGUAGGUGGUAUGAAAUCUGAGACUAUCUAUGCUAUGUUACAAAUGGGUAAUAUGAAUAUUUAACUUCAUAUUACCCAUUUGUAACAUAGCAUAGAUAGUCUCAGAUUUCAUACCACCUACU
Molecule: non-coding RNA, 122 nt
Organism: Paramuricea clavata
Lineage: Eukaryota; Metazoa; Cnidaria; Anthozoa; Malacalcyonacea; Plexauridae
Source: the annotation of a GenBank genome assembly